This 1066-nucleotide ribosomal RNA is filed under the name uncultured organism. RNAcentral describes it as "bacterial SSU rRNA". It matches the Rfam family "Bacterial small subunit ribosomal RNA", at positions 113 to 1212 of the family's 1533-position model. The record is from RNAcentral.
ACACGUAGGUGACCUGCCUCGAAGACGGGGAUAACUGCUGGAAACGGUAGCUAAUACCCGAUGGUCUCGAUAAUUCGGUUUGUCGAGUAAAGGCUCCGGCGCUUUGAGAGGGACCUGCGGCCCAUCAGCUAGUUGGUAGGGUAACGGCCUACCAAGGCGAAGACGGGUAGGGGGCGUGAGAGCGUGACCCCCCACACUGGCACUGGGACACGGGCCAGACUCCUACGGGAGGCAGCAGUGAGGAAUAUUGCGCAAUGAGCGAAAGCUAGACGCAGCAACGCCGCGUGGGUGAUGAAGGCCUUCGGGUCGUAAAACCCUUUUCUGGGGGAAGAGUAAGGACGGUACCCCAGGAAUAAGCCUCGGCUAACUAUGUGCCAGCAGCCGCGGUAAUACAUAGGAGGCAAGCGUUAUCCGGAUUUACUGGGCGUAAAGAGCGUUGAGGCGGCUUCGUAAGUUGGACGUGAAAGCUCCCGGCUUAACUGGGAGAGGCCGUUCAAUACUGCGGGGCUUGAGGACAGCAGAGGGGGGUGGAAUUUCCGGUGUAGUGGUGAAAUGCGUAGAUAUCGGAAGGAACACCAGUGGCGAAGGCGGCCCCCUGGGCUGCUCCUGACGCUGAAGGCGAAAGCUAGGGUAGCGAACGGGAUUAGAAACCCCGGUAGUCCUAGCCGUAAACGAUGGAUACUAGGUGUAGGAGGUUAAAACUCCUUCUGUGCCGGAGCUAACGCGUUAAGUAUCCCGCCUGGGGAGUACGGUCGCAAGGCUAAAACUCAAAGGAAUUGACGGGGGCCCGCACAAGCAGCGGAGCGUGUGGUUUAAUUCGAUGCAACGCGAAGAACCUUACCAGGGCUUGACAUGUAGGUAGUAGUGAAGCGAAAGCGGAACGAUCCUUCGGGAAGCCUACACAGGUGCUGCAUGGCUGUCGUCAGCUCGUGCCGUGAGGUGUUAGGUUAAGUCUUGUAACGAGCGCAACUCCUCUCCGUUAGUUACAAGUGUCUAUCGGGACUGCCCGGCAAAACUGGGAGGAAGGUGGGGAUGAGGUCAAGUCAGCAUGGCCUUUAUGUCCUGG